CCCCGCCCCCCUCCCGUUGCUACGACGCGCAAGCGCGGCUCCGCCCGUCACUGCGCUUCGGGACGCGGAGCGCGGCGGAGGCGGGGAGGAGGUGUGGCGUCGGCGGGGCGGGCCGAGCGAAGGAGCGAGCGAGUGAGCGAGCGGGCGAGUCCUCAGGAGUGGGCGGGAGCCUGCUGCUGUCCCCGCCCCCUUAAGGGAGAGGCGCGGAAGGAGUCCGUGUCGGCGGCGGGCGGGCCGCCGGCUCCUCUUUAAGGCGGCCGCACGUGCGUGCGGCGGUAGCGGGAGACCCGGAUGCCGGGGCCGUCGGGCCCCACCAUGCCGCAGAUCGUGGAGAAGCUGAGGGAGGUGCUGAAGUCGGGGCGGCGGGAGGCGGGCGACGAUGGGGAGCUGGGCCGGCUGCUGGCCGCCUCGGCCAAGAAGGUGCUGCUGCAGAAGAUCGAGUUCGAGCCCGCCAGCCGCGGCUUCUCCGGCCAGCUGGAGCUGCUGCGGGGGAAGUACGUGCUGCUCAACCCCCGGGCCGGGACCGAGACCGCCAGCCGCCACAGCGGCCUCGAGGAGAGACCGCCCAGCAAGCAGGGUGGCGACCAUGCCGGCGUGGGGGACGGGAUCCCCACGCCCCAGAAGGUGCUCUUCCCCGUGGAGCGCCUCUCCAUGAAGUGGGAGCGGAUCUACCGCGUCGGUGCCGGGCUGCACAACCUAGGGAACACCUGCUUCCUCAACUCCACGGUGCAGUGCCUGACCUACACGCCGCCGCUCGCCAACUACCUGCUCUCCAAGGAGCACAGCCGCACCUGUCAACAAGGAGGCUUUUGCAUGAUGUGCAUUAUGCAGAACCACGCCAUCCAGGCUUUUGCCAACAGCGGCAAUGCAAUAAAGCCAGUGUCCUUCAUCCGAGACCUCAAGAAGAUUGCCCAGCACAUCCGCUUCGGGAGACAGGAGGAUGCACAUGAGUUCCUGCGUUACACCAUUGAUGCCAUGCAGAAGGCCUGCUUGAAUGGCUGUACCAAGUUGGAUCGCCAGACCCAGGCCACGACGCUGAUUCACCAGAUCUUUGGCGGUUACCUGCGGUCCCGUGUGAAGUGCACGGUGUGCAAGGGCGUCUCGGACACCUAUGAUCCUUACCUGGACCUGGCACUGGAGAUUGGGCAAGCCGCAAACAUAGUGCGGGCGCUGGAGCUGUUUGUGAAGCCAGACAUGCUGGGGGGUGAGAACGCCUACAUGUGUGCCAAAUGCAAGAAGAAAGUGUCGGCCAGCAAACGCUUCACCAUUCACCGAGUCUCCAAUGUUCUCACGCUCUCACUGAAGCGCUUUGCUGACUUCGGUGGAGGCAAAAUCACAAAGGACGUGGGGUACCCUGAGUUCUUGAACCUCCGCCCUUACAUGUCUCAGAACAACGGGGAUCCUGUCAUGUACGAACUCUAUGCAGUGCUGGUGCACUCUGGCUACAGCUGCCACGCAGGGCAUUAUUACUGCUACGUGAAGGCCAGUAAUGGGCAGUGGUAUCAAAUGAACGAUGAUGUGGUCCGCUGCAGCAAUAUCAAAGUGGUCCUCAACCAGCAGGCCUACGUGCUGUUCUACCUGAGAAUCCCCAGCCCCAGGAAGAGCCCAGAGGGGCCCAUUGCCAGAGCUGCCUCCAGCCUGUCUGGCCGCACUCGCAGCAUCAUCUCUGAUCAGGUCAAGAAAACUGUGAACUUCAGGUCCCUGUCUUCACCGCCAGUGGGCCGGAGACCAGACAUGCUGCCGGGGAAGAAGCUGCCGAGGAAGAAGCUGCCAGGGCCAGAGGAGGUCGGAGUCCCUGUGGCCCGCAGCAUGGUCAGGACGAGGCCGAAGCUGUCGAACGGAACCGCUCCACCGAAGCUGCCUGCUGGGUCCCCAUCACCCAAACUGCCUCUCAGAGCCACCCAUUCGGACACAGCACUGCCCAAGGAUGCAGCCCGGAAGCCCAAGAAGCCACUCUCCUUCCCACAGCUGCCUCCCGUGCCCAGAGCAGGUCAGAGAUUCUGCAACACCAGCAAUGCAAGUGGGGCCAAAGCAGGGCUGUCCCGGCAGAGCUCCUGGGAGAGCAAGCAGCCACCUACCUCAUCCAAGCUGCCGCUGGAGCCCAGCUCCAGCCAAGAGCCCGGGGGCAGUGAGGAGAACACCAGGACCCUGGAGAAGGACUCCUGUGGCAGCAGUGCUGACAGCCUAGUGCAUGGCACACCGGGAAAGUUGGCCAAAGCGUCCCAGAAGGCCAAGAGCAGAACCAGCAGCUUCUGUACCUCUCAGGAAACGGACUGUGGCACGGACCUCCCUGCUGGCCCUGGCACCGAGCUGGCUGCCUCCAAAGACUCCAAGUUGGCAAAACCUAAAUCCUCCCUGUUGGCCAACUCUGCUCUGGAGCCAGGCAGCACCGUGUCACCGCCACCAGCCAAGAAGCUGGCACUCUCUGCCAAAAAGGGCAGCACCCCGCGGAAGGCGAGCGGAAGUGACCGCCACACACAACCUCACCCACAAUUUGCUGACCGCACCUGCCCCACGAACACCACCCACUCUGAGUCCACUCCCCAGCCUUUCGGCAAGUCAAGGCUGUCCUCAUCUGCUCUCAAAAUGCCAAAUCCUGAAAAGCCUACCUUCAGCUUCAUCCUCAGCUCAGCCCCUUGGCUCCCAGCCUCCCCCCUGACCAACGGUUCCACUGCCCACCCUUCACACUACCUUCCUUCAUGCAGCAGGGAGAAGGGCACCCCUGGUUCCUCCAAAAAGAAGCAUCAAAAGCAGCAUGGAGCAGUCGGCAGCUCUCGUGCUCUAGCUGUGAAGGGCAAGGAUGAAGUCUCCAACCCCCCCACGAAGGAGAAGAAACUCACUCAGGAGGGCUUGGUGUCCCUCGUGGGGAAGGAGGCGGCAGGCAAGGGUCCCAGCAGCAGCCAGGAGGAGCUGGGCUCUCGGAACCUGGAGAGCCGGCCCAAGCCACAGGUGUCGGACCCCAGUGCUUCCCUGGACAAGGAAUCCAUCUACCUCUGCAAGAAGAAGAAAAAGAAGAAGAGGAGGAGAAUGGAGGAGACAGAAGAGCACUGCCCUGGGACACUGUCCUCGGACAGCUCUAGGAGGGCUGAGACGGAGCCCUGGAGGAAAAAGCAGCGGUGCAGUGUGGAGGCUGGUGCUGGAGAGAGCGAGCACCGCAAGCGCAAGUGGAGGGAAAGCCCCAGCAGCCCAGCCUUGGAGCAGCCAGCUGCCAACAGUGACUAUGCCACAAACGGCACCCCAGUGGCAGCGUCCAGCCAGGCUGGAGAUGAGUACAGGCGUUGCCUGGCUGCCCCGAGCCCUGAGACCGGCCAUGGGACUGGCAUAGCACCUGAGAGCCAGAAGGAGUCCAGCGUGGUGGAGGAGCUGCUUGGGAACUCCUUGGACAAGGCUUAUGGCAAACAAGGUAAUCCGUGCUCGCCUGGGUGGGCAAACAGCCACGCAGCUUGCCUUGAGCCCUGCCUUGAGCCCUGGAUGCGGGCAGAGCCCUCCAUGCUCUGCCAGGGUCUUAGCUUCCCCCAGCACCAGCACAGGCAGCUGCAGAGGCUCCUGGAGCCAGGCAGAUGCACCUGGCCAAGGGGCUGUUGUGGGUGCCACAGAGUGGGGUGCUGGAGUGAGGGGCUCCAGCUGCUGGCCUAGGGUGGGGAUCCGGUGCAGGUGGGUGCAGCGGAGCACAGCGUGGUGCUCCCUGCUGAUCGCACUGCUCCACAGUCUUGACCUGGGAAGGCGAGAUCUCAGCUGUCAGCCAGGAUGCCAUUCAAGACGCAGCGUGGGCCCGGAGCGAGACUGUCAUCGAUGAGUGGGACGAGCAUUUUGACAGAGGGAAGGUAAAGAAGAUUAAACUGA
This is an RNA transcript of Aquila chrysaetos chrysaetos, 3843 nucleotides long. It is a transcript of the gene named ubiquitin specific peptidase 36, with no coding region annotated. The transcript is spliced from 18 exons. The record is from RefSeq and is a predicted model, not a curated record. Lineage: Eukaryota; Metazoa; Chordata; Aves; Accipitriformes; Accipitridae.